GAGACUGUUUAGACACUACUUUAGAAAAGGCAUUUUUUUUGGUGUUGCUACUAGGAAAUUGUGUGUGUGUGUGUGUGUGUGUGUGUGUGUGUGUGUGUGUGUGUUUUCAGUGUCUCUAGCAGCUGAAAGUAUGCAAGAGCUAAAAUGCAGCUACAGCUGGAGCUAACUCCCAUUCAUUCAUCAUUGUCACUUCACGAAUUAGGAGCCAGCAGACCAUUUCUCUCACUUUACUUCAGCUCCUUUUCAGAACGAGUGCAGAUUCAGAGAAGAAGGUGGAGCAAGAUGGCAGAAUAAUUGUCCCUCCAAUAAGGACAUCAAGUUAACGACUACCUACACAGAAAAACAGCUUCAUAAGAACGAAAAUCAGUGACAUGGACCUGUGCAGUGAAGCCAGCAAAUUGUGCUUGAGAUGGAACUUUACCUCCCAAAGCAACUGCAG
Molecule: long non-coding RNA, 439 nt
Filed under: Homo sapiens (human)
Lineage: Eukaryota; Metazoa; Chordata; Mammalia; Primates; Hominidae
Description: HSALNT0203248
Source: RNAcentral